Molecule: ribosomal RNA, 247 nt
Filed under: uncultured bacterium
Lineage: Bacteria
Description: partial 16S ribosomal RNA
Rfam family: Bacterial small subunit ribosomal RNA
Source: RNAcentral
AGGGGUACUCGAGUGGCGAACGGGUGAGUAACACGUGGGUGAUCUGCCCUGCACUUCGGGAUAAGCCUGGGAAACUGGGUCUAAUACCGGAUAGGACCACAUUUUGGAUGGUGUGGUGGAAAGUUUUUCGGUGUGGGAUGAGCUCGCGGCCUAUCAGCUUGUUGGUGGGGUAAUGGCCUACCAAGGCGUCGACGGGUAGCCGGCCUGAGAGGGUGUACGGCCACAUUGGGACUGAGAUACGGCCCAG